This 67-nucleotide transfer RNA is filed under the name Osmylus fulvicephalus. RNAcentral describes it as "tRNA-Asp". Lineage: Eukaryota; Metazoa; Arthropoda; Insecta; Neuroptera; Osmylidae. The record is from RNAcentral.
AGAAAAUUAGUUAAUUUAUAACAUAAAUAUGUCAUAUUUAAAUUAUUAAAUCACUUAAUAUUUUCUG